UCGGCAGGUCUGGCCUUGCUGCACCGCGUCGGCGCGGGUCAGCCGGGCGAGAUUAAACCGCCGACUACACACGUAGAAGCCGCCGUUGAAACGUCACGGGACGCGGGUUCGAUUCCCGCCGCCUCCAGUC
RNAcentral lists this transfer-messenger RNA (130 nucleotides) under Planctomycetota bacterium. RNAcentral's name for it is "Planctomycetes bacterium (anaerobic digester metagenome) partial transfer-messenger RNA". It matches the Rfam family "transfer-messenger RNA", at positions 236 to 374 of the family's 374-position model. From Rfam's summary of the family: Bacterial tmRNA, also known as 10Sa RNA or SsrA, is named for its dual tRNA and mRNA-like properties. Its role is to liberate the mRNA from a stalled ribosome. Lineage: Bacteria; Pseudomonadati; Planctomycetota. The record is from RNAcentral.